This 491-nucleotide ribosomal RNA is filed under the name uncultured bacterium. RNAcentral describes it as "partial 16S ribosomal RNA". It matches the Rfam family "Bacterial small subunit ribosomal RNA", at positions 29 to 506 of the family's 1533-position model. The record is from RNAcentral.
AGUGAACGCUGGCGGUAGACCUAACACAUGCAAGUCGAACGGCAGCACAGUAAGAGCUUGCUCUUACGGGUGGCGAGUGGCGGACGGGUGAGGAAUACAUCGGAAUCUACUUUUUCGUGGGGGAUAACGUAGGGAAACUUACGCUAAUACCGCAUACGACCUACGGGUGAAAGCAGGGGAUCUUCGGACCUUGCGCGAUUGAAUGAGCCGAUGUCGGAUUAGCUAGUUGGCGGGGUAAAGGCCCACCAAGGCGACGAUCCGUAGCUGGUCUGAGAGGAUGAUCAGCCACACUGGAACUGAGACACGGUCCAGACUCCUACGGGAGGCAGCAGUGGGGAAUAUUGGACAAUGGGCGCAAGCCUGAUCCAGCCAUACCGCGUGGGUGAAGAAGGCCUUCGGGUUGUAAAGCCCUUUUGUUGGGAAAGAAAAGCAGCAGGUUAAUACCCCGCUGUUCUGACGGGACCCAAAGAAUAAGCACCGGCUAACUGCGU